Molecule: non-coding RNA, 121 nt
Organism: Spironucleus salmonicida
Lineage: Eukaryota; Fornicata; Diplomonadida; Hexamitidae
Source: Rfam
CGAUUCGGUCAUACAGUCAGUUAAACACCACAUCUUGUUCCAAAUUGUGAAGUGAAGCCUGACCUGGCAGUAUUGAGUACUUCGCUGGGAGACUACGAGGGAAAGAGCUGUGCCGAAUUUU